GUGGGGGGGGGCGUGGCCUGCAGAUGGAUCUGUUGGAGGUGAUCUGGCAGAUUCAAAUAAAAACUCAGUUAAUGCUGAUUAAAGGUCUAAUUUAAUCUGUUAGUGGCUGAAAAGCUUGGAGGGAUUAAUGCAGACUGAUAUCGACCACAGCAGCAUCUGACAAAGUUUCAGAGGGCGGCAGACCCUCGGUUUUCCCUGUUUGUCUGUUUUGACCUUUUUGUUCUUCGACUGAUGCUGAAUCACUGGUUGCCUGUUCAGUCUCGAUCCAACCUGUUUCGCAGCACAUUAACGCAGUGCGACUGCAACCAGCUGCACCUCAUCAGCUGGUCCUUCAUACACACUGGGCUGCAGACUGGCUGAAAACGACUGCGGUGGCAGCAUCAUGCUGUGGGAGGCUUAUCUUCAGCGGGUAUACAGGGAAGCUGGGCUGUAGAUGGAUCAAGGCUUCAACUGGUCUGUGGUGGUGAAGAAGGAUCUGAGCUGAAAGGUAAAGGUCUGGAUUAACUUCUAUCCGUUCUCCAGCCCUCACCUCUGGUCAGCAGAUACGGAUAAUGACUCAAAAGAGGAGAUCCUGGGUUGAAGCAGCUGGAAUGAACCUCCUCUGCCGACUGGCUGCUAACUGGUAUGAGGUUCUAACCAUGUGACCAAAGAACAAAACAAUUCAAAUCAAAUGUAAAGCAUAAACUAAUCACUUUUACAUCAAACAAAAUACUUUUCUUAUUGCUUCUUAAGUGAUUAUUACUUGCAUGUAAAAGUUAUUAUACAUUAAAUAACUUCUAAAUCUAUUAGCAGUUAUUUGCUUUCUGUGCAUAAUCUACUGUUUAACCAUUUAGUCUCUUAGUGUCACACUGAAUAACGAGCUAAUAUUAUUGGGAUUAUUGGCUGCAGUGAGCUGGUCACCUUAAUGAGAGUCGGAACGCUUCCCACACCAUGACUGUUUGUAAUUUUCAUGUCCACAAACUUUUCCAGAUGGAUAAAUUGAUUGGGGAGACUCGUGGAUCCACCAGCAGAAGCUGGAGAUGUUGGGGUGUCCCUCCUGGACAGGAAGCGUUCCCUCUGCAACCCCAUUUGGACUAAGUUGUAUCUUUUAUUUAUUUUGUGCUGAAAAAAUAAAUGACCUUUAAAAACAUUUUGCAGAAAACAAAAAUGGUCAAGUGUAAAUAAUUUUUACCCAUUUAAAUCAAAUUCAGGGAAAUUACAAAAUCCUAAUUUAUUAAAAAUGUUUGAUUUACCAUGUUUAUCAGAAGAGAUGAGGGAGAGCUUGGACAA
Molecule: long non-coding RNA, 1269 nt
Organism: Girardinichthys multiradiatus
Lineage: Eukaryota; Metazoa; Chordata; Actinopteri; Cyprinodontiformes; Goodeidae
Exons: 3
Source: RefSeq, a predicted model, not a curated record